UGGGGAAUAUUGCACAAUGGGCGCAAGCCUGAUGCAGCGACGCCGCGUGAGGGAUGGAGGCCUUCGGGUUGUAAACCUCUUUCGCCAGUGAAGCAGGCCAUCUUCUUUGUGGGGUGGUUGACGGUAGCUGGAUAAGAAGCGCCGGCUAACUACGUGCCAGCAGCCGCGGUAAUACGUAGGGCGCGAGCGUUGUCCGGAAUUAUUGGGCGUAAAGAGCUCGUAGGCGGCUGGUCGCGUCUGUCGUGAAAUCCCCUGGCUUAACUGGGGGCUUGCGGUGGGUACGGGCCGGCUUGAGUGCGGUAGGGGAGACUGGAAUUCCUGGUGUAGCGGUGGAAUGCGCAGAUAUCAGGAGGAACACCGGUGGCGAGGCGGGUCUCUGGGCCGUUACUGACGCUGAGGAGCGAAAGCGUGGGGAGCGAACAGG
This 424-nucleotide ribosomal RNA is filed under the name bacterium. RNAcentral's name for it is "partial 16S ribosomal RNA". It matches the Rfam family "Bacterial small subunit ribosomal RNA", at positions 355 to 776 of the family's 1533-position model. The record is from RNAcentral.